AUAGUACUCCCUCCGUCCCAAAAUAAGUGACUCAAAAGUGACUCAAUUUUGCACUAACUUUAGUACAAAAUUGUAUCAUUUUUGAGUCACUUAUUUUGGGACGGAGGGAGUAUAAU
Molecule: non-coding RNA, 116 nt
Organism: Hordeum vulgare subsp. vulgare (domesticated barley)
Lineage: Eukaryota; Viridiplantae; Streptophyta; Magnoliopsida; Poales; Poaceae
Source: Rfam